This 530-nucleotide ribosomal RNA is filed under the name uncultured Acidobacteriota bacterium. Its description in RNAcentral is "bacterial SSU rRNA". It matches the Rfam family "Bacterial small subunit ribosomal RNA", at positions 376 to 896 of the family's 1533-position model. Lineage: Bacteria; Pseudomonadati; Acidobacteriota. The record is from RNAcentral.
CGCAAGCCUGACGACGCAACGCCGCGUGGAGGAUGAAGACCUUCGGGUCGUAAACUCCUUUCGAUCGAGACGAACGGCCUUCGGGUGAAUAAUCCGGGGGAGUGACGGUACCGAGAGAAGAAGCCCCGGCUAACUCCGUGCCAGCAGCCGCGGUAAUACGGGGGGGGCAAGCGUUGUUCGGAAUUACUGGGCGUAAAGGGCUCGUAGGCGGCCAACUAAGUCAGACGUGAAACCCCUCGGCUUAACCGGGGAACUGCGUCUGAUACUGGAUGGCUUGAGUUUGGGAGAGGGAUGCGGAAUUCCAGGUGUAGCGGUGAAAUGCGUAGAUAUCUGGAGGAACACCGGUGGCGAAGGCGGCAUCCUGGACCAACACUGACGCUGAGGAGCGAAAGCCAGGGGAGCAAACGGGAUUAGAUACCCCGGUAGUCCUGGCCCUAAACGAUGAAUGCUUGGUGUGACGGGUAUCGAUCCCUGUCGUGCCGAAGCUAACGCAUUAAGCAUUCCGCCUGGGGAGUACGGUCGCAAGGCUG